GCCCAGAUGGCGAAAUGGCAGCCGCGCCUGACUCAAAAUCAGGUCUCGAAAGGGGUGUGGGUUCAAGUCCCUCUCUGGGUACCA
This 84-nucleotide transfer RNA is filed under the name Puniceicoccales bacterium. RNAcentral describes it as "tRNA-Leu". It matches the Rfam family "tRNA". From Rfam's summary of the family: Transfer RNA (tRNA) molecules are approximately 80 nucleotides in length. The record is from RNAcentral. Lineage: Bacteria; Pseudomonadati; Verrucomicrobiota; Opitutia; Puniceicoccales.